RNAcentral lists this ribosomal RNA (397 nucleotides) under uncultured bacterium. RNAcentral's name for it is "partial 16S ribosomal RNA". It matches the Rfam family "Bacterial small subunit ribosomal RNA", at positions 523 to 918 of the family's 1533-position model. The record is from RNAcentral.
AUACGUAGGGGGCGAGCGUUGUCCGGAAUGAUUGGGCGUAAAGGGCGCGUAGGCGGCCCGGUAAGUCUGGAGUGAAAGUCCUGUUUUUAAGAUGGGAAUUGCUUUGGAUUCUGUCGGGCUUGAGGUCCGGAGAGGUAAGUGGGAUUCCCAGAGGAGCGGUGAAAUGCGUAGAGAUUGGGAGGAACACCAGUGGCGAAGGCGACUUACUGGACUGUAACUGACGCUGAGGCGCGAAAGUGUGGGGAGCAAACAGGAUUAGAUACCCUGGUAGUCCACACUGUAAACGAUGAAUGCUAGGUGUAGGGGGUAUCGACCCCUUCUGUGCCGCAGUCAACACAAUAAGCAUUCCGGCUGGGGAGUACGGCCGCAAGGUUGAAACUCAAAUGAAUUGACGGGG